UUAAUACUCCUAAUUAGCAUCCGAACAUCCAAUGUGACAUGUUUAGCCCCUGUCUCCCAAACACCCCCGAAAUAAACAGAAGAAUUUUUCAAAUGCAAGAUCUUCCUCCCUUCAAGUCGCUCAUAUCAGUGCCAGCUUUAUGGGCAUCGAAGAUGAACUUAUAUAAUGUUUUGCUAUAAUACACCCGGAUGCAUCCUGUACAUAAAAUGCACCCAGCCCGGUGGACGCACCAGGCCAAACAUGGGUGCGUGAUUCCUAAAUUAAUUUGUAUCUUCAACCUACCACGUAACGCCACCUAACAUACAAAUCCUAUCAGACUGCAUGCAUGCAUGCAUGGAAUCUUUUGUUGGUUCAAAUCUUUGAAACAAUUUUUCUCCUAAACCGUAGCCCCGAUUGACAAACCGUUUGUUGCAUCCGACUCAAAAAAAAUAUUCUUAACAAAACUAGAUCCAAUAUGGAUAUAUUUUUUAUCGUUUAAUUGAGUUGCAUCUCUAUGUACUAACAAUUGUAACUCUGUCUACCACCUAGUUGCAACUAGUUAGUAUUAUCUGCAUUUGGUCACUAUAAUCCUGUCAAGUUGCAAUUCUAAGUUGCAAGCAUAUCUUGUUGCAACCAGAGUAGCAACUAUGUUGCAGCUGAGUAGUAACUAGUUGCAUAAGUAGUAACUGGGUUACAAUUCGGUAGCAGUAACUGGUUGCAACAAGUAGUGAUUGUGUAGUAAUGAGUUGCAACCACUACUAUUUGGGUUUGCAAUCGGACAGUAACUUGUUGGGAAACAAUUAGGUUGUGACUGGUUGCAACACAUGAUAACGGGUUGCAAUUCGGAGUUGGAAGCAUAUCUGGUUGCAAUUAGAGUAGUAACUAGGUUGCAACUGAGUAGUGAAUAAUUGCAACUAGAAGUAAUAACAAGGUUACACUAGGUUAUAAUUAGUUUCAACCAGUGCUAAACUAAAUUACAAUUAUAUUGUAGAAGUGCUUGUAACUCACCGUACAACAUAUUACAAUUAUGUACUUGAAAAAAAUUCAUCAAAUAUAGCCUUCAUGGAUCUCGCUUUGUUAAUCUUCAAA
This 1068-nucleotide long non-coding RNA is filed under the name Setaria italica (foxtail millet). RNAcentral describes it as "long non-coding RNA (SITA_LNC004605)". The record is from RNAcentral. Lineage: Eukaryota; Viridiplantae; Streptophyta; Magnoliopsida; Poales; Poaceae.